AUAUAUAAAAUUAGUAGUGUAUAUUAAUUCGAGAGGAAAAGAUAUAGUAUAAA
RNAcentral lists this non-coding RNA (53 nucleotides) under Trypanosoma brucei brucei. The record is from RNAcentral. Lineage: Eukaryota; Euglenozoa; Kinetoplastea; Trypanosomatida; Trypanosomatidae.